ACGCUCGACACCUACGGGAGGCAGCAGUAGGGAAUCUUCCACAAUGGACGCAAGUCUGAUGGAGCAACGCCGCGUGAGUGAAGAAGGUUUUCGGAUCGUAAAGCUCUGUUGUUGGUGAAGAAGGAUAGAGGUAGUAACUGGCCUUUUAUUUGACGGUAAUCAACCAGAAAGUCACGGCUAACUACGUGCCACAGCCGCGGUAAUCUGAGCGGGCUGGCAAGGC
This 223-nucleotide ribosomal RNA is filed under the name uncultured bacterium. RNAcentral describes it as "partial 16S ribosomal RNA". It matches the Rfam family "Bacterial small subunit ribosomal RNA", at positions 328 to 539 of the family's 1533-position model. The record is from RNAcentral.